CAGCACCACAAGUGGGGACCAUGUUUAUUGGGCCUAAAGCGUCCGUAGCCGGCCUUGUAAAUUCUAUGUGAAAUCGUUGGGCUUCACCCAACGGCGUGCAUGGAACACUGCAAGGCUCGAGACCAAGAGGAGUCAGAGGUAUUCUGGGGGGAGCGGUAAAAUGCUAUAAUCCCUGGAGGACCACCUGUGGCGAAGGCGUCUGACCAGAAUGGUUCUGACGGUGAGGGACGAAAGCUAGGGGAGCAAACCGGAUUAGAUACCCGAGUAGUCC
RNAcentral lists this ribosomal RNA (271 nucleotides) under uncultured archaeon. RNAcentral's name for it is "partial 16S ribosomal RNA". It matches the Rfam family "Archaeal small subunit ribosomal RNA", at positions 477 to 747 of the family's 1478-position model. The record is from RNAcentral.